UUAUCUUGAUUAUACUUUGAGCAUCCGAAACCAAUCCUUUCUUACAAAGAGUGUUAAUAAAUAUGCUGAAGGUAAAAACAUCAGGUGAUAUGUUUUGCCCUACCAUUUUUUUCAACAAGGCCAAAGCUUGAUUCUGCCUUCCUAAAUUGCAAAGACCAUGAAUUAUGCAGUUGUAGGUUAUAAUAUUAGGUAAAAUGCCUUUAUCCCUCAUUUGAGAUAGGAGGUUUACUGCCUCAGCAACUAGCUUAUCCUUGCAAAGGGCAUCGAUGAUUGCAGUGUAAGUUACAACAUCUGGCUCCUCUCUCAAUCAUUUCUUUUAGCAACCAAAUAGCCACAUUUGUUUUUCCAAAUUUACAAAGACCACUUACUAUCACAGUGUAAGUACAAACAUUAGGUUGAUAACCUCCUGCAACCAUGUCAUCGAAAAAAUCUACUGCUUCAUAGAUUUGACCCUUCACACUAAGCCCAUUGAUUAAGGUAGUAAAUGUCACAAUGUCAGGCUCCAAUCCAAAUUUGAGGACUUUCCCCAAAAUAGAGAAGCCAAAAUUCACAACGUGCAAGUGACAGAAGCAAUUAAUCAAGAUAUUUAGAGAAUAAAUAUCAUGUGGGAUCCCUAGCAAUUCAAUAGUUUUGGACAAGGAAACGGCAGUGUGAUGUUGUUUCAUUUUCACAAGAGCAGAUAAAAAUCGAUUAAAUUCAACUCUAGAAGGCAGAGGAUGCAUAUGA
This 726-nucleotide unclassified non-coding RNA is filed under the name Hevea brasiliensis (rubber tree). The record is from RNAcentral. Lineage: Eukaryota; Viridiplantae; Streptophyta; Magnoliopsida; Malpighiales; Euphorbiaceae.